Molecule: long non-coding RNA, 283 nt
Filed under: Citrus maxima (pomelo)
Lineage: Eukaryota; Viridiplantae; Streptophyta; Magnoliopsida; Sapindales; Rutaceae
Description: long non-coding RNA (CMAX_LNC001539)
Source: RNAcentral
GCGUGUCAGCUGCUCAUCUUCCAUUGCAUGCAAGAUGCAACGGGAUGAGUUAGAUUCUGAUUGGAAGAUGAGUCUUCGGAGGUUAAACUUACAUGAAACCAAAUCGCUACACGUGGCCCUGGCCUGGGGUUGAGAUGCUUUGUAUUGGUGGUAAAGCGUGCCUCCUUUUGCCUAUCAGCGCCGCAGCGGUGCGUUUGCUGUUUACCACCACGUCACUAGAUUACGUUUCCUUCGGGAGACUUCUCGUCGUGAUUCUAAUUGUCGAUUUUGUGAUUUGUUUUUU